Molecule: ribosomal RNA, 2920 nt
Filed under: Acinetobacter baumannii
Lineage: Bacteria; Pseudomonadati; Pseudomonadota; Gammaproteobacteria; Moraxellales; Moraxellaceae
Description: bacterial LSU rRNA
Rfam family: Bacterial large subunit ribosomal RNA
Source: RNAcentral
GUUGUAUAGUCAAGUAAUUAAGUGCAUGUGGUGGAUGCCUUGGCAGUCAGAGGCGAUGAAAGACGUGAUAGCCUGCGAAAAGCUCCGGGGAGGCGGCAAAUAUCCUUUGAUCCGGAGAUGUCUGAAUGGGGGAACCCACCUACUUUAAGGUAGGUAUUGCAACAUGAAUACAUAGUGUUGCAAGGCGAACGAGGGGAAGUGAAACAUCUCAGUACCCUUAGGAAAAGAAAUCAAUUGAGAUUCCCUCAGUAGCGGCGAGCGAACGGGGAUCAGCCCAUUAAGUUAUGUGUGUUUUAGUGGAACGCUCUGGGAAGUGCGAACGUAGAGGGUGAUAUUCCCGUACACGAAAGGGCACACAUAAUGAUGACGAGUAGGGCGAGGCACGUGAAACCUUGUCUGAAUAUGGGGGGACCAUCCUCCAAGGCUAAAUACUCCUGACUGACCGAUAGUGAACCAGUACCGUGAGGGAAAGGCGAAAAGAACCCCUGUGAGGGGAGUGAAAUAGAUCCUGAAACCGCAUGCAUACAAGCAGUGGGAGCACCUUCGUGGUGUGACUGCGUACCUUUUGUAUAAUGGGUCAGCGACUUAUAUUCAGUAGCGAGGUUAACCGUAUAGGGGAGCCGUAGAGAAAUCGAGUCUUAAUAGGGCGUUUAGUUGCUGGGUAUAGACCCGAAACCAGGCGAUCUAUCCAUGAGCAGGUUGAAGGUUGGGUAACACUAACUGGAGGACCGAACCCACUGUCGUUGAAAAGCCAGGGGAUGACUUGUGGAUAGGGGUGAAAGGCUAAUCAAGCCUGGUGAUAGCUGGUUCUCCCCGAAAGCUAUUUAGGUAGCGCCUCGGACGAAUACCAUAGGGGGUAGAGCACUGUUUCGGCUAGGGGGUCAUCCCGACUUACCAAACCGAUGCAAACUCCGAAUACCUAUGAGUACUAUCCGGGAGACAGACUGCGGGUGCUAACGUCCGUAGUCAAGAGGAAAACAAUCCAGACCGCCAGCUAAGGCCCCAAAAUCAUAGUUAAGUGGGAAACGAUGUGGGAAGGCAUAGACAGCUAGGAGGUUGGCUUANGAAGCAGCCACCCUUUAAAGAAAGCGUAAUAGCUCACUAGUCGAGUCGGCCUGCGCGGAAGAUGUAACGGGGCUAAAACUAUGUGCCGAAGCUGCGGAUGUAUACUUUGUAUACGUGGUAGGGGAGCGUUCUGUAAGCCGAUGAAGGUGUGUUGAGAAGCNAUGCUGGAGGUAUCAGAAGUGCGAAUGCUGACGUGAGUAACGACAAAACGGGUGAAAAACCCGUUCGCCGAAAGACCAAGGGUUCCAGUCCAACGUUAAUCGGGGCUGGGUGAGUCGACCCCUAAGGCGAGGCCGAAAGGCGUAGUCGAUGGGAAAAUGGUUAAUAUUCCAUUACUUCUGUGUAAUGCGAUGAGAGGACGGAGAAGGCUAAAUCAGCCUGGCGUUGGUUGUCCAGGUGAAAGGAUGUAGGCAUGUAUCUUAGGCAAAUCCGGGGUACUCUAUGCUGAGAUCUGAUAGCAAGCUGUACUUGUACAGCGAAGUGGUUGAUGCCAUGCUUCCAGGAAAAGUCUCUAAGCUUCAGUUACACAGGAAUCGUACCCGAAACCGACACAGGUGGUCAGGUCGAGUAGACCAAGGCGCUUGAGAGAACUCUGCUGAAGGAACUAGGCAAAAUGGUACCGUAACUUCGGGAGAAGGUACGCUGUUGUUGGUGAUGGAACUCGCUUCCUGAGCUGACGACAGCCGCAGAAACCAGGCCGCUGCAACUGUUUAUUAAAAACAUAGCACUCUGCAAACACGAAAGUGGACGUAUAGGGUGUGAUGCCUGCCCGGUGCUGGAAGGUUAAUUGAUGGGGUUAGCGUAAGCGAAGCUCUUGAUCGAAGCCCCAGUAAACGGCGGCCGUAACUAUAACGGUCCUAAGGUAGCGAAAUUCCUUGUCGGGUAAGUUCCGACCUGCACGAAUGGCAUAAUGAUGGCGGCGCUGUCUCCAGCAGAGGCUCAGUGAAAUCGAAAUCGCUGUGAAGAUGCAGUGUACCCGCGGCUAGACGGAAAGACCCCGUGAACCUUUACUGCAGCUUGACACUGAACUUUGACCUUACUUGUGUAGGAUAGGUGGGAGGCUUUGAAGCUGGAACGCUAGUUCCAGUGGAGCCGUCCUUGAAAUACCACCCUGGUAAUGUUGAGGUUCUAACUCUGUCCCGUGAUCCGGGACGAGGACCGUGUCUGGUGGGUAGUUUGACUGGGGCGGUCUCCUCCUAAAGAGUAACGGAGGAGUACGAAGGUGCGCUCAGCGUGGUCGGAAAUCACGCGUAGAGUAUAAAGGCAAAAGCGCGCUUAACUGCGAGACCCACAAGUCGAGCAGGUACGAAAGUAGGUCUUAGUGAUCCGGUGGUUCUGUAUGGAAGGGCCAUCGCUCAACGGAUAAAAGGUACUCUGGGGAUAACAGGCUGAUACCGCCCAAGAGUUCAUAUCGACGGCGGUGUUUGGCACCUCGAUGUCGGCUCAUCUCAUCCUGGGGCUGAAGCAGGUCCCAAGGGUAUGGCUGUUCGCCAUUUAAAGAGGUACGCGAGCUGGGUUUAGAACGUCGUGAGACAGUUCGGUCCCUAUCUACCGUGGGCGCUGGAAAUUUGAGAGGAUCUGCUCCUAGUACGAGAGGACCAGAGUGGACGAACCUCUGGUGUACCGGUUGUGACGCCAGUCGCAUCGCCGGGUAGCUAUGUUCGGAAGGGAUAACCGCUGAAAGCAUCUAAGCGGGAAGCCUACCUCAAGAUAAGAUUUCCCUAGGACUUUAUGUCCUCUAAAGAGCCGUUCGAGACUAGGACGUUGAUAGGUUGGAUGUGGAAGCAUAGUGAUAUGUGAAGCUGACCAAUACUAAUUGCUCGUGAGGCUUGACUAUACAACACCCAAGCAGUUG